Molecule: non-coding RNA, 329 nt
Organism: Tinamus guttatus (white-throated tinamou)
Lineage: Eukaryota; Metazoa; Chordata; Aves; Tinamiformes; Tinamidae
Source: RefSeq, a predicted model, not a curated record
AGCUGCUGCUCGAGGCUGAGCCUGGAUUCCAGGAGGUUUAACUGUCUAAAAUGUGGCCGCACAGGUGAAGUGAAAGAUGCAAGAUACAGAUACAGAUUGUCCCUCAAAGUUGCUGACACGAAUGAUUUGUUUGACAUCACUGUGUUUGGAAGCUGCUUAGAUCCGUUCUUUGGGGUCACAGCAGACAAUUUGCAGAGGUAUAUUCAAGACUUGAAUCAGCUGUCAGGAGAAACAAACAGAGAUACAUCUCCAGGAGUGUUAGUUCAAGCAGUUGAAACCUGUUUCAUUGGAAAAAGAUUUAUAUUUGGAGUGAAGGCUUGUGUGAGUCA